Molecule: ribosomal RNA, 519 nt
Filed under: uncultured eukaryote
Lineage: Eukaryota
Description: SSU rRNA
Rfam family: Eukaryotic small subunit ribosomal RNA
Source: RNAcentral
AGGGCACCACCAGGAGUGGAGCCUGCGGCUUAAUUUGACUCAACACGGGAAAACUUACCCGGCCCGGACACUGGAAGGAUUGACAGAUUAACAGCUCUUUCUUGAUUCAGUGGGUGGUGGUGCAUGGCCGUUCUUAGUUGGUGGAGCGAUUUGUCUGGUUAAUUCCGAUAGCGAACGAGACUCUAGCCUACUAAAUAGGCAAUCGGUCAAAAGUACCGAUCGUCCUUCUUAGAGGGACAGGCGGCGUUUAGCCGCAUGAAAGAGAGCAAUAACAGGUCUGUGAUGCCCUUAGAUGUCCGGGGCCGCACGCGCGCUACACUGAAGGAAUCAGCGUGUGUUUGCCCCUGUCCGGCAGGACUGGGUAACCCAAUGAACCUCCUUCGUGAUUGGGAUAGGGGCUUGAAAUUCUUCCCCUUGAACGAGGAAUUCCCAGUAAGCGCAAGUCAUAAGCUUGCGUUGAUCACGUCCCUGCCCUUUGUACACACCGCCCGUCGCUACUACCGAUUGAAUGAUUUAGUG